RNAcentral lists this ribosomal RNA (502 nucleotides) under uncultured bacterium. RNAcentral's name for it is "partial 16S ribosomal RNA". It matches the Rfam family "Bacterial small subunit ribosomal RNA", at positions 30 to 523 of the family's 1533-position model. The record is from RNAcentral.
AUUGAACGCUGGCGGAAUGCUUUACACAUGCAAGUCGAACGGCAGCACGGGUGCUUGCACCUGGUGGCGAGUGGCGAACGGGUGAGUAAUAUAUCGGAACGUACCCAUUAAUGGGGGAUAACAUAUCGAAAGAUGUGCUAAUACCGCAUACGCCCUGAGGGGGAAAGCGGGGGAUCUUAGGACCUCGCGUCAUUGGAGCGGCCGAUAACGGAUUAGCUAGUUGGUGGGGUAAAGGCCCACCAAGGCGACGAUCCGUAGCUGGUCUGAGAGGACGACCAGCCACACUGGAACUGAGACACGGUCCAGACUCUUACGGGAGGCAGCAGUGGGGAAUUUUGGACAAUGGGGGAAACCCUGAUCCAGCCAUUCCGCGUGAGUGAAGAAGGCCUUCGGGUUGUAAAGCUCUUUCGCAAGGGAAGAAAACUUACAUUCUAAUAAAGUGUGAGGCUGACGGUACCUUGAUAAGAAGCACCGGCUAACUACGUGCCAGCCGCCGCCGUAA